RNAcentral lists this long non-coding RNA (3033 nucleotides) under Equus caballus (horse). RNAcentral describes it as "5-hydroxytryptamine receptor 1B (ENSECAG00000000649.3)". Lineage: Eukaryota; Metazoa; Chordata; Mammalia; Perissodactyla; Equidae. The record is from RNAcentral.
UCAGUUAUAAUAAAAAUAGAGAUCUUAACAUCAGAAUUCUGCUGUUAACUCUUCAAGGUUUCUCUGUGCCAUCCAAGCCACACAUAGGGUUUGAAGCACCAAAUCCACAAGUUUCUACAACCAGGUUUAAAUAAACAAAAACUGAAGACUGAAGGAUGCCAAAGUAACUGUUCUUAAAUGAAGCUGUAACACAAAGUUCUCCCCAAAACUCAGGGUAUUAAGCGUCUAGUUCAAGCACUGCCAGGCUAGGGCAUCAUCCAGGAUACCAAGGCCGAGCAGGGAUCCCUUUGCCAUCAUGACUUUUAAAAAGUUGCAGCCCCCCUUGUGAUUGGUCGAGGCAGGGUCAGUGCCGAACCUGGGGUUUGAGCGGAGGAAGGGAGCCUCCUCCUGGGCAAGGAGGCUCUAUCUUCAGUGUGAACAGUUCUCCUUUCAGAGCACUCUCUCAGGGCCGACCUGGUUUCUCAGGAUCCAUUCCCUUGCCCAGAAGAGAGAGCCUCACUCCGACCCAGUAACAGUGAAAGAAGAGUCGACCUACCUGUGGAACCAGACACAACAUGGUCCCCAAAGGCCGCUUAAGCGACCCCACUGCAACUGACAAGUCAACUUGCGCACUUAAAGCGUAUCAGUUUAUGGAACGCUUGUUUGAAGUCCUCAUUGGACAUGGUAUAGAUGAUGGGGUUGAUGAGGGAGUUCAGAUAGCCCAGCCACGUGAAAAAGUCAAAGAUGGCCAAGUGGAACCAACAGGCAUCCUUGCAAAUCGGCAUCACCAAGGAGAUGAUGAAGAAGGGCAGCCAACACACAAUAAACGCUCCCAGAAUGAUCCCCAGGGUUUUGGUGGCUUUGCGCUCCCUAGCGGCCAUGAGUUUCUUCUUCUCCACUAGAGCGUCGGAGACUCGCACUUUGACUUGGUUCACGUACACAGGAGACCCCGACUCGCUGGGCACGUCGGGAGCCCGCGAGUUAAUGGAGGUGACCGAGGACGUGGACCCGGGGGAGUCGGUCAUCAGCUGGGCUCGGGUCAGACGCUUGCCGGUCCUAUUGGGCGUCUGUUUCAAAAUCCGGGAGCGGGCUUCCACAUAGAUGCGGCUGUAGAGGGCGAUGAGGAGCAAGGUGGGGAAGUAGAAAGCGCCCACCGUGGAGUAGACCGUGUAGAGGAUGUGGUCGGUGUUCACCAAACAGUCCAACACUUCUUCCUCGGCUUUGGCCUGGCGCCAAAAGAAGGGCGGCAGCGAGAUGGAGAUGGAGAAGACCCACACCAGCGCGAUCAUGACUGCCGCCCUCUUGGGAGUCCUUUUAGCUGAGUACUCCACGGCGUCCGUGAUGGCCCAGUAGCGGUCCAGGGCGAUGACACAGAGGUGCAGGAUGGAAGCAGUGCAACAGGUGAUAUCAGACGACAGCCAGAAGUCGCAGACCACCUGGCCCAGCGUCCAGCGGCCGGUGACCACAUACAUGGUGCUGAUGGGCAUCACCAGGAUGGAUACGAGCAGGUCAGUGACAGCCAGGGAGGCGAUCAGGUAGUUGGCCGGGGUAUGCAGCUUCCGCGUCCGGUACACAGUGGCGAUCACAAAUGCGUUGGAGAGCGUGGUGGCCAAGGUGAUGAGCGCCAGCAGCACGACGAGCAGCACUUUCCAGGGCAGGGCGACGGAGUCCUGGUAAACGUAGCCCUCGGUGCUGCAGUUGUGGGAGGGAGCGGCGGAGAGGUUGACUUGAGAAACCCCAGUCUGGGAGCCCGCGGGCGGCGGCGGGGCGCACUGAGCGCCCGUUUCCUCCAUGUCUCUCCUCGCCCUGGCCCCGGAGCACAGCUCUCAGGCAUGGAGCGGACGAGGAAGAGGGCGGAAGGACCGUGGAGGAGACCACAGUCUUAUCCCUCGGUUGCUAGUCAGUUCCCUGGGUCCCUUAAUUACCCCUGCACCCAGGUUCCCAGCUGAAAGUAGAGGUCAAGGGCGAGGCGGGCGAGGCAGGCGGACACGUCCGCUGCGCUUCCAGUGUGCCCGGCGCGGCCGCCGCGUCUCUGGCGGCUCCUCUCCACGCCCCGUCUUAGCCCUGGGUUGCUAAGGACUGGCCUACCGAGCCCCGCUCCUCUCCUGCUCCAAGCCGGGCGUCUAGUGGCCGAGCGCGGUGUUUUGAGGAGGGAGCAUCAGCCAGGUGCGGUCUCUUACCCCAAGUGUUCGGGGUUGAGAGUCUCCUAACCCGGGCGCUCCUUAAUCUGCAGACUUGGCCCACAGGAGUUUCUCAGCUGUCGAGACCAAAGCUUGCAGGCCCGCGAGGAGUCUUGGUCUUGCGUUCCCGCCCCCCUCCCCAGCCUGGGGCAGUUUCCUGCGGCAGCUGCAGCCGCCCGAGCUGGGUGGGGUGAAGUCUGCGAGCCGGGCUGCGCCGCUCUUUGCGCCAGAGCUCUGCCCUCCCUUCUUUUCAAGCGCUGGCCACUCCGGCGAGCUGCCCCGCGGAGACGGGGCCGCACGAGGGGGGACUCGGGGCCCGGGGCUGCGGCUGCUUGCACCGCGCCGCCGCCACCUCGGUCCCACGGGCACCACUCGGAGCCAUGUCUCUGGGCGCACGGGUCUGGGGGACCCGGCGCGGCACGCCCGCCAGGGGCAGGUGUCUGGGAGAGCUGGAGGGAGGCUGCGUGCGCCAGCCCGGGAGGAGCGUGUGAGCCGCGGAGCAGGUGGGCUCCUUUUAUAGAGUCCAGGUCCGGUCCGCCGGAGCCGUGCAACUCGUGCGGCGCAGCGAGUGCAGACACCCGCUUCCCAUCACCUUCCUUUUUUCUCUCUCCCUGCCCCCUUUCCUCCCUCCCGGUUCCCUCCCUGGCCAAGGAAGCUCCCGCCCGGUCCUACCGCCCUCUGUCCCCACUUCCCAUCCCCUGGCCCCUCUCGGGAUCCCGACACCCAGCCGCCGCAGUUUGGCCCGGGAAUGGGGAUGAGGGCGUCCUGUCCUUGCUUCCGUCCUCUUCCGAGCUGCUGCGCGCCCCUCCAGUUACACCCACGCCCUGAGCCUCCGGCACAGGCACAGACCCCACUUUCCUUCCUAGGCUCCGAC